This 424-nucleotide ribosomal RNA is filed under the name uncultured bacterium. RNAcentral describes it as "bacterial SSU rRNA". It matches the Rfam family "Bacterial small subunit ribosomal RNA", at positions 355 to 796 of the family's 1533-position model. The record is from RNAcentral.
UGAGGAAUAUUCCGCAAUGGACGCAAGUCUGACGGAGCAACGCCGCGUGCAGGAGGACGGCCUUCGGGUUGUAAACUGCUUUUCCCAGGGAAGAGAACGGACGGUACCUGGGGAAGAAGCCCCGGCUCACUACGUGCCAGCAGCCGCGGUAAUACGUAGGGGGCGAGCGUUGUCCGGACUUAUUGGGCGUAAAGAGCACGCAGGCGGUUGGCCAAGUUCGCAGUGCCACUCCCCGGCUUAACCGGGGACCGAUUGCGAAAACUGGUGGACUGGAGAGCGAGAGAGGGACAUGGAACUCCGGGUGGAGCAGUGACAUGCGUAGAGAUCCGGAAGAACACCAAGGCGAAGGCAGUGUCCUGGCUCGUAUCUGACGCUGAGGUGCGAAAGCCAGGGGAGCGAACGGGAUUAGAUACCCCCGUAGUCC